GUUGAAGGUUUAGUAGAUCAUAU
RNAcentral lists this small nuclear RNA (23 nucleotides) under Arabidopsis thaliana (thale cress). RNAcentral describes it as "snRNA_14600". Lineage: Eukaryota; Viridiplantae; Streptophyta; Magnoliopsida; Brassicales; Brassicaceae. The record is from RNAcentral.